UUGAUACGUUACCUACAGCUGAUGAGCUUCAAAAAGAGCAAAACCGGUUGAGUCCUGUAGUUCUGGCCUAAUUAUCA
Molecule: non-coding RNA, 77 nt
Filed under: Callorhinchus milii (elephant shark)
Lineage: Eukaryota; Metazoa; Chordata; Chondrichthyes; Chimaeriformes; Callorhinchidae
Source: RNAcentral